CAGAUACUUUAGGGGUGUCUGCGAUAAGCAGGCUGAGAUUUUACCCUUGGAACCUGAUCUAGUUCAUACUAGCGUAGGGAAAAGUAGGAUGACAAUU
RNAcentral lists this non-coding RNA (97 nucleotides) under Sphingobacterium psychroaquaticum. RNAcentral's name for it is "TPP sequence". It matches the Rfam family "TPP riboswitch aptamer (THI element)". From Rfam's summary of the family: Vitamin B(1) in its active form thiamin pyrophosphate (TPP) is an essential coenzyme that is synthesised by coupling of pyrimidine and thiazole moieties in bacteria. The previously detected thiamin-regulatory element, thi box was extended, resulting in a new, highly conserved RNA secondary structure, the THI element, which is widely distributed in eubacteria and also occurs in some archaea. Analysis of operon structures identified a large number of new candidate thiamin-regulated genes, mostly transporters, in various prokaryotic organisms. Lineage: Bacteria; Pseudomonadati; Bacteroidota; Sphingobacteriia; Sphingobacteriales; Sphingobacteriaceae. The record is from Rfam by way of RNAcentral.